UGGGGAAUUUUGGACAAUGGGCGAAAGCCUGAUCCAGCCAUGCCGCGUGCAGGAUGAAGGCCUUCGGGUUGUAAACUGCUUUUGUACGGAACGAAAAGACUCUGGUUAAUACCUGGGGUCCAUGACGGUACCGUAAGAAUAAGCACCGGCUAACUACGUGCCAGCAGCCGCGGUAAUACGUAGGGUGCAAGCGUUAAUCGGAAUUACUGGGCGUAAAGCGUGCGCAGGCGGUUAUAUAAGACAGAUGUGAAAUCCCCGGGCUCAACCUGGGAACUGCAUUUGUGACUGUAUAGCUAGAGUACGGCAGAGGGGGAUGGAAUUCCGCGUGUAGCAGUGAAAUGCGUAGAUAUGCGGAGGAACACCGAUGGCGAAGGCAAUCCCCUGGCCUGUACUGACGCUCAUGCACGAAAAGCGUGGGGAGCAAACAGGAUUAGAUACCCUGGUAGUCCACGCCCUAAACGAUGUCAACUAGUUGUUGGGUCUUCACUGACUCAGUAACGAAGCUAAACGCGUGAAGUUGACCGCCUGGGGGAGUACGGCCGCAAGGUUGAAACUCAAAUUGAAUUGACGGGGGUCAUAGCU
Molecule: ribosomal RNA, 582 nt
Filed under: uncultured bacterium
Lineage: Bacteria
Description: partial 16S ribosomal RNA
Rfam family: Bacterial small subunit ribosomal RNA
Source: RNAcentral